Non-coding RNA from Xyrichtys novacula (pearly razorfish), 4259 nucleotides. The record is from the annotation of a GenBank genome assembly. Lineage: Eukaryota; Metazoa; Chordata; Actinopteri; Labriformes; Labridae.
GGGGCUCAAGUUUUUUCCAGUCGUUUAUACAAUAUGGAAAUUAAUGUGAAAUUAAAACACAAAGUAUUAAUAGAAAGGUAAUGACUGUCCUGUGUAGGUGACAGUGAUAUCCAAUAGGCUAGGCACUCACGAGGCUGGCUGUGGCAAGUGUAAGUGAAAGCAACACGCACUGGCAGGAAGAACAGCAAACGCCGAUGAAGGAAAAGGGUCUUUGCAGUGAUGGGCGUUAACAGAGAGGGCGAUGGCCAGAGGACACAAAUGGGACGGGGAGGCAGCACGUUGGGGGGGGUGGGGGGGGGGGGGGACGCGACACGGCUCGGGCCCGCCAGUGCCCCAACGGGGUCCUAGUUAUUAGGGCCCGAGCCAGCUGCAGAGCAGCCGGGCGUAGGCCCUGUUAUUCCUGUAGGGGUUUUUCUUUAGGGCCCGAGCGUAGCUGCUAAGCAGCUGCGAGAGCCCUCUUGUUCCUGUAGUUUCCUUCUUUUGUUAUUAUUAUUAUUAUUUUUCCUCCCCUUUGAACUGGAAAAUGGCCCACUUCCCACUGGCGAAAACUCAUGAAAUUUGGCAGGACGACCGGGCCUGGUGAAAAAUUUGAUAUUCCGAAGUCGCCCAAACAAGAAAAUGCAAAAUGGCUCCAUAGCGCCCCCUAAGGUGAAAAUUCACACUAUUCACUGUCACGCCGGUACGCUUUGUCAAAAUGACACAAAAAUUGACACACACAUGUAUCUCAAUAAGAUCUACAAAAAAGUCAGUGCGGGCGUAUCUGUCAAAUGUACGGUUAAAGGGUUAUUUCGCAUUUUUUGCCGAUCCGCACACAUUGGAAUUUCGCUAACUCCUCCGAAGGCUUUCGUUCCACCGGCACCACAUUUGCUCAGGCCAAUCUACACCCCAUGGCCAUUAAAAGUUAUUCAAAUCAUGACGCUGCACCCCACGGUUUAGGUUCUAGGGGGCGCCAAAGAUAACCCUAAGAUCCACAUAUUUAAAAGUCUUAUAACUUUUUAUUUUUGCCCUCACUGGCCUCCAAGUUUUCUAGGAUGAUGCAAUGUCCAGCCAUCAACACAUUUGUGAAGGAAUUUUUACUCCCCAAAAGAGCGCCCCCCCCAUGGCAGGAGAAAAAAGUCCAUUUUUUCUUGUCCCCUAAGGUGAAAAUACACAUUGUUGAGUGUAACACCUGUACGCUUUGGCAAAAUGACACAAAAAUUGACACACACAUGUAUCUCAAUAAGAUCUACGAAAAAGUCAAUGCGCGCGUAUCUGUCAAAUGUACGGUUAAAGGGUUAUUCCGCAUUUUUUGCCGAUCCGCACACAUUGGAAUUUCGCUAACUCCUCCGAAGGCUUUCGUUCCACCGGCACCACUUUUGCUCAGGCCAAUCUACACCCCAUGGCCAUUAAAAGUUAUUCAAAUCAUGACGCUGCACCCCACGGUUUAGGUUCUAGGGGGAGCCAAAGAUAACCGUAAAAUCCACAUAUUUUAAAGUCUUAUAACUUUUUAUUUUUGUCCCCACUGGCCUCCAAGUUUUCUAGGAUGAUGCAAUGUCCAGCCAUCAACACAUUUGUGAAGGAAUUUUUACUCGGCAAAAGAGCGCCCCCCCAUGGCAGGAGAAAAAAGUCAAUUUUUUCUUGUCCACUAAGGUGAAAAUACACAUUGUUGAGUGCUACGCCUGUAUGUUUUGUCGUAUUGACACAAAAUUUUACAUACACGUGUAUUUACAUAAGAUCUUCGAAAAAGUCAAUGGCCACGUAUCUGUAAAAUGUACGGUUAAAGGGUUAUUUCGCAUUUUUUGCAGAUUCGCACACAUUGGAAUUUCGCUAAUUCCUCCGAAGGCUUUCGUUCCACCGGCACCACAUUUGCUCAGGCCAAUCUACACCCCAUGGCCAUUAAAAGUUAUUCAAAUCAUGACGCUGCACCCCACGGUUUAGGUUCUAGGGGGCGCCAAAUAUAACCCUAAAAUCCACAUAUUUAAAAGUCUUAUAACUUUUUAUUUUUGUCCUCACUGGCCUCCAUGUUUUCUAGGAUGAUGCAAUGUCCAGCCAUCAACACAUUUGUGAAGGAGUUUUUUCUCUUUAAAAGAGCGCCCCCCCAUGGCAGGAGAAAAAAGUCAAGUUUUUCCUGUUCAUCAUUCAAUGGCUCAAACGCACUGCUCUCUCGGCAAAAGCGAAAGGAGGAGCAACUUGCCAUUUGGAUAUAUCUUAGCUGUGUUUGUGCCCUCACUCAUGGUCCAGACUUUUUUCAAAUAGGACAUGGAGUUUUUCUGCAGCGAGCGUUUUGGUAGAAACUGCGCCUCCCGUUCAUUAUAAUGGUAAAUGACCACAAACAAGUGCGCACACCAUCUUUGGACCUUGAGUGUGACGUGAUCGGGUGGGGGAGGCGGUCGCGCUGGGGGCGGCGUGACACGGCUCGGGCCCGCCAGUGCCCCAACGGGGCCCUAGUUGUUUCUUUCUUUCUUCUUUUUCCUCCCCUUUGAACUGGAAAAUGGCCCACUUCCCACUGGCGAAAACUCAGGAAAUUUGGCAGGACGACCGGGCCUGGUGAAAAAUUUGAUAUUCCGAAGUCGCCCAAACAAGAAAAUGCAAAAUGGCUCCAUAGCGCCCCCUAAGGUGAAAAUUCACACUAUUGACUGUCACGCCUGUACGCUUUGUCAAAAUGACACAAAAAUUGACACACACAUGUAUCUCAAUAAGAUCUACAAAAAAGUCAGUGCGGGCGUAUCUGUCAAAUGUACGGUUAAAGGGUUAUUUCGCAUUUUUUGCCGAUCCGCACACAUUGGAAUUUCGCUAACUCCUCCGAAGGCUUUCGUUCCACCGGCACCACAUUUGCUCAGGCCAAUCUACACCCCAUGGCCAUUAAAAGUUAUUCAAAUCAUGACGCUGCACCCCACGGUUUAGGUUCUAGGGGGCGCCAAAGAUAACCCUAAAAUCCACAUUUUUAAAAGUCUUAUAACUUUUUAUUUUUCCCCUCACUGGCCUCCAAGUUUUCUAGGAUGAUGCAAUGUCCAGCCAUCAACACAUUUGUGAAGGAAUUUUUACUCCCCAAAAGAGCGCCCCCCCAUGGCAGGAGAAAAAAGUCCAUUUUUUUCUUGUCCCCUAAGGUGAAAAUACACAUUGUUGAGUGUCACGCCUGUACGCUUUGUCAAAAUGACACAAAAAUUGACACACACAUGUAUCUCAAUAAGAUCUACAAAAAAGUCCAUGCGCGCGUAUCUGUCUAAUGUAUGGUUAAAGGGUUAUUCCGAAUUUUUUGCCGAUUCGCACACAUUGGAAUUUCGCUAACUCCUCCGAAGGCUUUCGUUCCACCGGCACCACAUUUGCUCAGGCCAAAUUACACCCCAUGGCCAUUAAAAGUUAUUCAAAUCAUGACGCUGCACCCCACGGUUUACGUUCUAGGGGGCGCCAAAGAUAACCCAAAAAUCCACAUUUUUAAAAGUCUUAUAACUUUUUAUUUUUGUCCUCACUGGCCUCCAAGUUUUCUAGGAUGAUGCAAUGUCCAGCCAUCAACACAUUUGUGAAGGAAUUUUUACUCCCCAAAAGAGCGCCCCCCAUGGCAGGAGAAAAAAGUCCAUUUUUUUCUUGUCCCCUAAGGUGAAAAUACACAUUGUUGAGUGUCACGCCUGUACGCUUUGUCAAAAUGACACAAAAAUUGACACACACAUGUAUCUCAAUAAGAUCUACAAAAAAGUCCAUGCGCGCGUAUCUGUCUAAUGUACGGUUAAAGGGUUAUUCCGAAUUUUUUGCCGAUUCGCACACAUUGGAAUUUCGCUAACUCCUCCGAAGGCUUUCGUUCCACCGGCACCACAUUUGCUCAGGCCAAAUUACACCCCAUGGCCAUUAAAAGUUAUUCAAAUCAUGACGCUGCACCCCACGGUUUACGUUCUAGGGGGCGCCAAAGAUAACCCAAAAAUCCACAUUUUUAAAAGUCUUAUAACUUUUUAUUUUUGUCCUCACUGGCCUCCAAGUUUUCUAGGAUGAUGCAAUGUCCAGCCAUCAACACAUUUGUGAAGGAAUUUUUACUCCCCAAAAGAGCGCCCCCCCAUGGCAGGAGAAAAAAGUCCAUUUUUUUCUUGUCCCCUAAGGUGAAAAUACACAUUGUUGAGUGUCACGCCUGUACGCUUUGUCAAAAUGACACAAAAAUUGACACACACAUGUAUCUCAAUAAGAUCUACAAAAAAGUCCAUGCGCGCGUAUCUGUCUAAUGUACGGUUAAAGGGUUAUUCCGAAUUUUUUGCCGAUUCGCACACAUUGGAAUUUCGCUAACUCCUCCGAAG